This 491-nucleotide ribosomal RNA is filed under the name uncultured bacterium. Its description in RNAcentral is "bacterial SSU rRNA". It matches the Rfam family "Bacterial small subunit ribosomal RNA", at positions 899 to 1397 of the family's 1533-position model. The record is from RNAcentral.
ACUCAAAGGAAUUGACGGGACCCCGCACAAGCGGUGGAUCAUGUUGUUUAAUUCGACGAUACGCGAAAAACCUUACCAGGCCUUGACAUCCCGUGCAAUGCUUAAGAAAUUAAGCGGAGGUUAUCACGGUGACAGGUGGUGCAUGGUUGUCGUCAGCUCGUGUCGUGAGAUGUUCGGUUAAGUCCGCUAACGAGCGCAACCCUUAUCCUUAGUUGCUAAACAUUUUAUGUAGGACUUUAAGGAGACUGCCCUUACGGGAGGAAGGUGGGGAUGACGUCAAAUCAUCAUGCCCCUUACGGCCUGGGCUACAAACGUGAUACAAUGGCUGGUCAACAAAGAGAUGCCAACCCGCGAGGGGGAGCCAAUCUCAAAAAAACAGUCUCAGUUCGGAUUGAAGUCUGCAACUCGACUUCAUGAAGCCGGAAUCGCUAGUAAUCGCAAAUCAGAAUGUUGCGGUGAAUACGUUCUCGGGGUUUGUACACACCGCCCGU